Molecule: ribosomal RNA, 492 nt
Filed under: uncultured bacterium
Lineage: Bacteria
Description: partial 16S ribosomal RNA
Rfam family: Bacterial small subunit ribosomal RNA
Source: RNAcentral
AUUGAACGCUGGCGGCAUGCUUUACACAUGCAAGUCGAACGGUAACAGGCCUUCGGGUGCUGACGAGUGGCGAACGGGUGAGUAAUGCAUCGGAACGUACCCAGAGGUGGGGGAUAACGCAGCGAAAGCUGUGCUAAUACCGCAUGUGAUCUGAGGAUGAAAGCGGGGGACCGAGCAGCAAUGUUUGGCCUCGCGCCUUUGGAGCGGCCGAUGUCGGAUUAGCUAGUUGGUGGGGUAAAGGCCUACCAAGGCGACGAUCCAUAGCUGGUCUGAGAGGACGACCAGCCACACUGGGACUGAGACACGGCCCAGACUCCUACGGGAGGCAGCAAUGGGGAAUUUUGGACAAUGGGCGCAAGCCUGAUCCAGCAAUGCCGCGUGCGGGAAGAAGGCCUUCGGGUUGUAAACCGCUUUUGGCAGGAACGAAACGGUGUCCGCUAAUACCGGGCGCUAAUGACGGUACCUGCAGAAUAAGCACCGGCUAACUACGUG